UGGGGAAUCUUCCGCAAUGGGCGCAAGCCUGACGGAGCGACGCCGCGUGAAGGAUGAAGGCCCUUACGGGUCGUAAACUUCUGUUCUGAGGGACGAAAUUUUUUGACGGUACCUCAGGAGAAAGUAUCGGCAAACCCUGUGCCAGCAGCCGCGGUAAGACAGGGGAUACAAGCGUUACUCGGAAUUACUGGGCGUAAAGCGUCUGUAGGUGCUUUGGUAAGUCUGUGGUAAAAGCUCGGGGCUCAACCCCGAGAGCGUCAUGGAAACUACCGAAGUUGAGCAGUAGAGAGGCAUCUGGAAUGCCGCAUGUAGGAGUAAAAUCCGUAGAUAUGCGGUAGAACGCCAAAAGCGUAGGCAGGAUGCUAGCUACUUGCUGACACUGAGAGACGAAAGCGUGGGGAGCGAAGCGGAUUAGAUACCCCAGUAGUCCCUGAGCGGGCUGGCAAGGCGCAU
This 453-nucleotide ribosomal RNA is filed under the name uncultured bacterium. RNAcentral's name for it is "bacterial SSU rRNA". It matches the Rfam family "Bacterial small subunit ribosomal RNA", at positions 355 to 825 of the family's 1533-position model. The record is from RNAcentral.